This 285-nucleotide long non-coding RNA is filed under the name Musa acuminata (dwarf banana). RNAcentral's name for it is "long non-coding RNA (MACU_LNC002708)". Lineage: Eukaryota; Viridiplantae; Streptophyta; Magnoliopsida; Zingiberales; Musaceae. The record is from RNAcentral.
AAAAAGUUCAAAAAUUAUAUAAUUUAACAAGAACAAAAAGAGCCCUUUAUACACACCUAAUAUAUGCACAUAUGGGACUUUCUUCUUUGAAAAUUACUUGCAUACACACCUAAUAUAUGCACAUAUGGGACUUUCUUCUUUGAAAAUUACUUGCAUACACACAUAAUGCACAUGAACCUGCGAUUUGCUUGCUGUUCAAGAUGCCAUAUAUGCACCAUCUAGGUCCCAUGAUGAUUCUACACCAGCACUGGCACACAUUGAAUCACCUCCAUGUUCAUACGGAAG